UACGAAGGGGGCAAGCGUUGUCCGGAAUCACUGGGCGUAAAGGGCGCGUAGGCGGCUCAUGAAGGCUGUGGUGAAAGUCCGGGGCUCAACCUCGGAUCGGCCGUGGCGACUCGUGGGCUGGAGCACUGUAGAGGCGGGUGGAAUUCCGGGUGUAGCGGUGGAAUGCGUAGAGAUCCGGAGGAACACCGAUGGCGAAGGCAGAUCUCUGGGCCAUUACUGACGCUGAGGAGCGAAAGCGUGGGGAGCAAACAGG
Molecule: ribosomal RNA, 253 nt
Filed under: uncultured bacterium
Lineage: Bacteria
Description: partial 16S ribosomal RNA
Rfam family: Bacterial small subunit ribosomal RNA
Source: RNAcentral